This 3112-nucleotide long non-coding RNA is filed under the name Homo sapiens (human). RNAcentral describes it as "non-protein coding LINC00964:15". The record is from RNAcentral. Lineage: Eukaryota; Metazoa; Chordata; Mammalia; Primates; Hominidae.
GUUGGUUUCCUUUUUACAACUGCCCAAGUCAUGAGUUCAUAGGGCCUGGAUGGCUGUACCGGAUUGCUCUCCAGCUGGUCUCUCUGCAUCCAGAAAUUUCUACAACCUACUGGGGUAAAAUCUUUCUCAACCCUGCUUUUCAUCAUCACAUCUUAAAUAUCUCGAGUUGGUUCCCUAUUGCCAAAAAAAAUCCAUUGUCCAUGUAGGGUUCUUCUGCCGAAACGAGGAAAGAGUGAGUUAAAUGUUGGUAGGUGAUAUAGAGAUAGUAAUUAGGCAAUAUAAUUCGAUGUUGUUGAAAGAGCUGAGCUAUGAAAUGCAUUGUGAUAAAGGGGCUGCCUGUGUAAGUAAAUGGGUAUAAUGAGGUGUAAAACUCCCUUUCUCUCUCUCUUUCUGCUUCAUAAGCCUUUCUGCUUCUCAAGUCCAGACCUGCUGUUUUUGGGGUUUCCUUCCAAUUUUUUUGCUGCUUCCCUGGGGCCUUGGCUCUUGGGCCUGCUGCCUCUUCCCACUCUACACCUUUGGAUUCCUUAUCUUUGGCUCCACCUUAUUGCUCCAUUCUCCAAAGACAAAUCCACAAGGCAUAGGAUUUUACAGAAUAUGGGGUUACAGAAACAGCAUAGGGAAGUGUAAAAGCCUAGAAGCUUCUUACAGACGCAGCCCCUUGUCUGUAGCUCCUGACUCCCACUUAAAUGUCUGUUGGAAGCACCCUGGGGUAGCAGAACCCAGCUCAGAAGAUGGGGCUUAUCCACCAUGCCUUUUCCUAACCUGACACCCACCCAGAUAAUCUUUUCAAUAUGCAAACUAGAGCGUAUCACCCCCUGCUCAGAGCCUUUCUGUGACCUCCCAUUUUGCUUCCCAGGACUCCUUGCUCCUUAGCCAGGUCUCCAGGUCCUCCGUGAUCAGGUCUCUGCUCUUCUGCAGCCUCAUCUCUGCCAUUCUUCACCUUUUGUGCUCCAACCCAAUCUGGUUUUCUUCUCAUGCUUUGAACACCCCAAGUCUGUCUGCUUCAGGAGCUUCGUACUGGCUAAUCAUUCACCACAGCAUACUCCCAUCUAUACGGCUGGCUCUUAUAUUAUGGGUCUCAGCUAAAAUGUCAUCCCUUCAAAGAGACCUUCUUGGACCACCCCCGCCAUUCUCUAUCCUAUUUCUCUCUUUUAUUUUCUUUGAAGCACUUACCCACUUUCAGAAACUAUCUGGCUUGCUCAUGUGUUUGUCUCUAGAUUGUCUACUUCCCCUCCUAGACUGUACUCUCCACAAGAGAGCAAAGCUGUGUCUGUUGCAUUCACUGUUGUCUUCCCAGAAGCAAGCAGCAUGCUGGAGACCCUCAAAUACAUGUGAAAUGAAGGGACACCUUGUGUUAUUUCACCUGUUUCCACCUGGUUCCCAAGUGGCAAGCUUGCAUUGAGGUUACAAAGUGGCAAAGCUGGGAUAUCACAUGAUGUCACCAUGAUGCUAUAUGAAAUGUAACAUUAAUUGAGUACCUAUGUGACCAGUUCUUUAAUUCUGUAAGUGAACUCUCAAAAAACCCUAGGUAAGUAUUAUCAACUCGAACUUUAACGGAUGAGGAAACUGGAAUUUUUUAAAAAAUGACUUAACCAAACAUCACAGAGCUGUAAACCAGGAUUUGAAUGGGUGAGCUGCACUCAGCCUUCAUCUCAAGUCAGUUUGCCUCUUUCUCCAAGAAGCCACAGUUGAUCCUGACCACAUCACAUAUGAGUUGCCUGGAUUGCAGUCAUUCAUUCACUAAGCAUCUUUUAGGAGGUCACAUGCCAGGCACCGUGUUAGGUAAUGAUUUCUCCAAGUCACAGGAGCCGUGGUUCUGACUUUAGAAAGUUUCUCAUCUGAUGGGAGGGCAGGCAAGUAAAUCAGUAAGGGUGGUCCCUGUCGGGACACUGGUUGAGAAAUACCCAGGAACACUCUGAUUGAGAAAUACCCAAAGUGCAAAGUGACAGGGACUAGAGGCAUCUCCACUGGACCAGAGAGCUCUGGAUUCGUCUUGAGCUAAGUCUCUGGAGGUAGGUGUCAGCUACAAGGAGAAAAGCUGUAUAUUUUGAGAUAUGGGAUGCAGGGCCUUUUAGUUCCAUAAAUAAGAGAACUAUGGUGUGAAUACCACAUGCCCUGGGCUGAACUAAGUGGGCUCUAGGGGAAGGUAUACUGGGCAGGGAGUUUGGAGAACUGGUUUCUGUCUAAUCCUUCUCUAACUCUGUGACCUUGAAUGCAUCAUUUCCCCUCUGAGUCUCAGAUUCUCUUUCUGGCUGGCAUUUAAUGAAACCUAAAUAUUCUAGACCUUCUACUUGUUCCAUAAGUGCUCAGUCCUACACUCACUCUCCUCUGGCACCAAUAUACUGAUUACUCAUUUUAUGCCCAGCAGAGCACUGCGUGUUUUGAAAUAUACAAAUAGUGGGAAACGAAAUCUUUGUUCUGGAUGCAGUUAUAAUUUGGAAAGCGAGGAAAUAAAUUAUAACAAGGGGAAAAAACAGACACAGAGGGAUUGAAAUGCAUAACAAUAGAGAUGAAACACGAAGAGUGAUAAAUGAAGAUUGAGUGUGCACACCUUCUGGAGGAGCCCUGAUUGAGUAUUUUAACACAGAAGUGGGUGAGAGCAAAGUUGUGUCAGAGUAAGACAAUGACACCAAGCCAGAUGGUUAUCAAAAUCCACAGGAACAAAUGAAGAGAACCAGAAAUUGCAAAUAAGAAGGACAGAGUACCAGAGAGGAGAGAGAGGUACAGAGAAUUAUGGAGGUGGCUUCCGUUGAGUAUGCAGCUAAGUAAUGAUUAAUGCAUACAUAUAAGAAACUACUGGAUGACAGAGAAAGAACCACAAGCAAUUUAAAGAAUACUACUAAAGUCAUGCCGUGUGACUUCUGAAGCUAGCUCCUAAGAAGUCCUUGCAGCUUCUGCCUGCGACUCUUAGAACACUUGCUUUGAAGGAUGCCAGAUGCUGUCUUAAAAGUCUGAGCACUCUGAAACCAUCAUGCUGUGAGGAAGCCCAAGCUAACCACAUGGGCAAAAAAGAUGCCCUCUGACUGCCACCAUUUGAGACACUCUAAUUAAGAACUGCCUCAUUGAGCCCAUGAGGCCCUGUGAAUGAUAAUAAUAAAUUGUUUUUAACCAC